This 468-nucleotide ribosomal RNA is filed under the name uncultured bacterium. RNAcentral describes it as "partial 16S ribosomal RNA". It matches the Rfam family "Bacterial small subunit ribosomal RNA", at positions 28 to 507 of the family's 1533-position model. The record is from RNAcentral.
GACGAACGCUGGCGGCGUGCUUAACACAUGCAAGUCGAACGGAAAGGCCCUGCUUUUGUGGGGUGCUCGAGAGGCGAACGGGUGAGUAAAACGUGAGUAACCUGCCCUUGAAUUUGGGAUAACUUCUGGAAAAUGGGGCUAAUACCGGAUAGGAGCUCCUGCUGCAUGGGGGGGGUUGGAAAGUUUCGGCGGUUGGGGAUGGACUCGCGGCUUAUCAGCUUGUUGGUGGGGUAGUGGUUGACACAGGCUUUGACGGGUAGCCGGCCUGAGAGGGUGAACGGCCUCAUUGGGACUACGAUACGCCCCAGACUCGUACGGGCCGCAGCAGUCGGGAAUAUGGCACAAUGGGCGCAAGCCUGAUACAGCAACGCUGCGUGCGUGAUGCCGUCCUUCGGGUGGUAAACCGCUUUCUCCGGAGACGAAGCGGUCGUGACGGUAAUGAGUAAAAAAGCACCGGCUAACUACGUG